UACGUAGGGGGCAAGCGUUGUCCGGAUUUACUGGGCGUAAAGAGCGUGUAGGCGGCCAAGCAGGUCCGUUGUGAAAACUGGAGGCUUAACCUCCAGACGUCGACGGAAACCGCGCGGCUAGAGUCCGGAAGAGGAGAGUGGAAUUCCGAGUGUAGAGGUGAAAUUCGUAGAUAUUCGGAAGAACACCAGUGGCGAAGGCGACUUACUGGACGACUGUUGACGCUGAGGUGCGAAAGCGUGGGGAGCAAACAGG
RNAcentral lists this ribosomal RNA (253 nucleotides) under uncultured bacterium. RNAcentral describes it as "partial 16S ribosomal RNA". It matches the Rfam family "Bacterial small subunit ribosomal RNA", at positions 524 to 776 of the family's 1533-position model. The record is from RNAcentral.